GUGCUUGCUUCGGCAGCACAUAUACUAAAAUUGGAAUGAUACAGAGAAGAUUAGCAUGGCCCCUGCGCAAGGAUGACAAGAAAAAAUAAAGUAGGUGUCUACCAAGCA
RNAcentral lists this small nuclear RNA (108 nucleotides) under Propithecus coquereli (Coquerel's sifaka). The record is from RNAcentral. Lineage: Eukaryota; Metazoa; Chordata; Mammalia; Primates; Indriidae.